CCUACGGGUGGCAGCAGUGGGGAAUAUUGGACAAUGGGGGCAACCCUGAUCCAGCCAUGCCGCGUGUGUGAAGAAGGCCCUCGGGUUGUAAAGCACUUUCAGUGAGGAAGAACGCCUGGUGGUUAAUACCCAUCAGGAAAGACAUCACUCACAGAAGAAGCACCGGCUAACUCCGUGCCAGCAGCCGCGGUAAUACGGAGGGUGCGAGCGUUAAUCGGAAUUACUGGGCGUAAAGCGCGCGUAGGUGGCUUGAUAAGCCGGUUGUGAAAGCCCCGGGCUCAACCUGGGAACGGCAUCCGGAACUGUCAAGCUAGAGUGCAGGAGAGGAAGGUAGAAUUCCCGGUGUAGCGGUGAAAUGCGUAGAGAUCGGGAGGAAUACCAGUGGCGAAGGCGGCCUUCUGGACUGACACUGACACCGAGGUGCGAAAGCGUGGGUAGCAAACAGGAUUAGAUACCCUAGUAGUC
RNAcentral lists this ribosomal RNA (465 nucleotides) under Vreelandella stevensii. Its description in RNAcentral is "partial 16S ribosomal RNA". It matches the Rfam family "Bacterial small subunit ribosomal RNA", at positions 338 to 795 of the family's 1533-position model. The record is from RNAcentral. Lineage: Bacteria; Pseudomonadati; Pseudomonadota; Gammaproteobacteria; Oceanospirillales; Halomonadaceae.